RNAcentral lists this ribosomal RNA (478 nucleotides) under uncultured bacterium. Its description in RNAcentral is "partial 16S ribosomal RNA". It matches the Rfam family "Bacterial small subunit ribosomal RNA", at positions 28 to 523 of the family's 1533-position model. The record is from RNAcentral.
GACGAACGCUGGCGGCGUGCUUAACACAUGCAAGUCGAACGGUAAGGCCCUUCGGGGUACACGAGUGGCGAACGGGUGAGUAACACGUGGGUGAUCUGCCCUGCACUUCGGGAUAAGCCUGGGAAACGGGGUCUAAUACCGGAUAGGACUCCGGACUGCAUGGUCUGGGGUGGAAAGCUUUUGCGGUGUGGGAUGGGCCCGCGGCCUAUCCGCUUGUUGGUGGGGUGAUGGCCUACCAAGGCGACGACGGGUAGCCGGCCUGAGAGGGUGACCGGCCACACUGGGACUGAGAUACGGCCCAGACUCCUACGGGAGGCAGCAGUGGGGAAUAUUGCACAAUGGGCGCAAGCCUGAUGCAGCGACGCCGCGUGAGGGAUGACGGCCUUCGGGUUGUAAACCUCUUUCAGCAUCGACGAAGCGAAAGUGACGGUAGGUGCAGAAGAAGGACCGGCCAACUACGUGCCAGCCGCCGCGGUAA